Molecule: ribosomal RNA, 428 nt
Filed under: uncultured bacterium
Lineage: Bacteria
Description: partial 16S ribosomal RNA
Rfam family: Bacterial small subunit ribosomal RNA
Source: RNAcentral
GUAGGGAAUAUUGGACAAUGGGGGCAACCCUGAUCCAGCGACGCCGCGUGAGUGACGAAGGCCUUCGGGUCGUAAAGCUCUGUUGCAAGGGAAAAACAAAAUGAUGGUACCUUGCUAGAAAGGAUCGGCUAACUUCGUGCCAGCAGCCGCGGUAAGACGAGGGAUCCUAGCGUUGUUCGGAAUUAUUGGGCGUAAAGCGGGUGUAGGUGGCUUUGUAAGUCAGGUGUGAAAGCCUGGGGCUUAACCCCAGAAGUGCAUUUGAUACUGCGAAGCUUGAGUGCUGGAGAGGCUACUAGAAUUCUUGGUGUAGUGGUGAAAUACGUAGAUAUCAAGAGGAAUACCGGAGGCGAAGGCGGGUAGCUGGCCAGACACUGACACUCAGACCCGAAAGCGUGGGGAUCAAACAGGAUUAGAUACCCUUGUAGUCC